CCUCUUUUAGCAGGGAAGAAGCGAAAGUGACGGUACCUGCAGAAAAAGCGCCGGCUAACUACGUGCCAGCAGCCGCGGUAAUACGUAGGGCGCAAGCGUUAUCCGGAAUUAUUGGGCGUAAAGAGCUCGUAGGCGGUUUGUCGCGUCUGCUGUGAAAUCCCGAGGCUCAACCUCGGGCCUGCAGUGGGUACGGGCAGACUAGAGUGCGGUAGGGGAGAUUGGAAUUCCUGGUGUAGCGGUGGAAUGCGCAGAUAUCAGGAGGAACACCGAUGGCGAAGGCAGAUCUCUGGGCCGUAACUGACGCUGAGGAGCGAAAGGGUGGGGAGCAAACAGGCUUAGAUACCCUGGUAGUCCACCCCGUAAACGUUGGGAACUAGUUGUGGGGUCCAUUCCACGGAUUCCGUGACGCAGCUAACGCAUUAAGUUCCCCGCCUGGGGAGUACGGCCGCAAGGCUAAAACUCAAAGGAAUUGACGGGGACCCGCACAAGCGGCGGAGCAUGCGGAUUAAUUCGAUGCAACGCGAAGAACCUUACCAAGGCUUGACAUAUACGAGAACGGGCCAGAAAUGGUCAACUCUUUGGACACUCGUAAACAGGUGGUGCAUGGUUGUCGUCAGCUCGUGUCGUGAGAUGUUGGGUUAAGUCCCGCAACGAGCGCAACCCUCGUUCUAUGUUGCCAGCACGUAAUGGUGGGAACUCAUGGGAUACUGCCGGGGUCAACUCGGAGGAAGGUGGGGAUGACGUCAAAUCAUCAUGCCCCUUAUGUCUUGGGCUUCACGCAUGCUACAAUGGCCGGUACAAAGGGCUGCAAUACCGUGAGGUGGAGCGAAUCCCAAAAAGCCGGUCCCAGUUCGGAUUGAGGUCUGCAACUCGACCUCAUGAAGUCGGAGUCGCUAGUAAUCGCAGAUCAGCAACGCUGCGGUGAAUACGUUCCCGGGUCUUGUACACACCGCCCGUCAAGUCAUGAAAGUCGGUAACACCUGAAGCCGGUGGCCUAACCCUUGUGGAGGGAGCC
This 1015-nucleotide ribosomal RNA is filed under the name Microbacterium paraoxydans. RNAcentral's name for it is "bacterial SSU rRNA". It matches the Rfam family "Bacterial small subunit ribosomal RNA", at positions 430 to 1454 of the family's 1533-position model. The record is from RNAcentral. Lineage: Bacteria; Bacillati; Actinomycetota; Actinomycetes; Micrococcales; Microbacteriaceae.